RNAcentral lists this long non-coding RNA (1617 nucleotides) under Solanum tuberosum (potato). RNAcentral's name for it is "long non-coding RNA (STUB_LNC002048)". Lineage: Eukaryota; Viridiplantae; Streptophyta; Magnoliopsida; Solanales; Solanaceae. The record is from RNAcentral.
UUUUAUACAGUCAUCAUACUUGGUUACUAACACAAUAACCUAAGCAUAAGAAUAGGAUUAACUUCCACUGGGCACUAAGAAUAAUAGUGGUAUUAUAUUCUGAGGAACAAGUAACUGACUAAGUAAUUGACUAAGCAACAGGAAAAAAGUUAACUAACAACUAAAGACUCUACUGUCGAACAUUAAAUGAAACAGAAGGAGCUGGAGUAGGUGUUUUAACAGUCUCCCUCAACUCUUGCUUCUUUCCUUUUAAUGACGCCGAGAACGACAGAAGCUUCCAAGCUAACUGCUGGUUGAGCGUUUUGUUAAUAUAUCGGCAACUUGAUUUUCUGUUUUGACCUGCACCAUUUCCAUUUCUUCUUCAAGAACUUUUUCACGAAGAAUUUGGUAAUGUACCUCCACAUGCUUAGUCCUAGCGUGAAACACUGGAUUCUCCGCCAACCUUAUCGCAGACUGGUUAUCACAAUACAAUGGAAUUGAAUACUUCAUUGGCUGAUGCAAAUCCUUCAGCAACUGUAUAAGCCAAGUGAUUUCCUGAGCUCCCACCGCUGCUGCUCGGUAUUCCACUUCUGUUGUUGACAACAACACAGUUGAUUUCCUCUUGGUACACCAAGAGAUUGCUCUGGAUCCAAGUAUAAACACAUAUCCAGCAGUUGAUUAUCGAGUAUCAUGAUCACCUGCACUGCUAACUUACAAUCUCUACCUUUCUUGUAUAGUAUACCAUAUCCAAGUGUACACUUGACAUAUCUCAAAAUCCUUUGAACUGCUUCCAAAUGAGGCUUCUUUGGAUUUUGCAUGUUUCAACUCAUCACACCAACUACAUAAGAGAUGUCGGCUCUAGUUAAAGUUAAGUAGAUCAGACUACCCACUAAUUGUCGAUACAUUGUGGCAUCUUUCAAGUCUUUCCCUUCAUAAACACACAUAUAGCAUUUGGCUCCAUUGGUGUUGAGAUUGGUUUGCGAUUGGGCAUUCCAAACUUCUUCAGCAAAUCUUUGGAAUACUUUUUCUGAUGCAGACAGAUUCCUUCUUCAGUGCAUUCAGCCUCAAAGCCAAGAAAAUGGUCGAGUUGUCCUUUGUUUGGAGAAUUUCUUCCUCACCAUCUCCUGUCAGGAUAAGGUCAUCCAUAUAUACUAGCACAAUAGCUAGUUUUCGAAGAACACCUGUUAGAGGAAUUUUUGAUGCCAUUCUUCAUUACAGGUACAUUAUCAUACCAUCACUAAGCAUUUUUCUGAAGAUUCUAAAUGAUGUAUCUGUUGAAUACCCAAGACGCAACAAUCUGUGAAGCUUUUCAUAUGCUAAUGAAUUAACUUGGGAGUUACAUACAUUCAUGGUAAAUGAUGGCCUUUUAUACAGUCAUCAUACUUGGUUACUAACACAAUAACCUAAGCAUAAGAAUAGGAUUAACUUCCACUGGGCACUAAGAAUAAUAGUGGUAUUAUAUUCUGAGGAACAAGUAACUGACUAAGUAAUUGACUAAGCAACAGGAAAAAAGUUAACUAACAACUAAAGACUCUACUGUCGAACAUUAAAUGAAACAGAAGGAGCUGGAGUAGGUGUUUUAACAGUCUCCCUCAACUCUUGCUUCUUUCCUUUUAAUGACGCCGAGAACGACAGAAG